CCAAUAAGCGCCAGGGAACUACGAGCAAUGCUUAAAACCCAAAGGAUUUGACGGUGUCCCACCCCCCUAGAGGAGCCUGUUCUAUAAUCGAUGAUCCCCGAUAUACCCCACCACUCCUUGCUCAUCAGUCUGUAUACCUCCGUCGAAAGCUUACCGUAUGAACGUCUACAGUAGGUUCAAGGACUCGCACAGCGAGUCAAUACGUCAGGUCAAGGUGCAACUUAAGGAGUGGAAAGUAAUUGGCUACAAUUUCUAAUUUAGAACAAACGAAAGACUAUGUGAAACCAUAGUAACGAAGGCGGAUUUAGUAGUAAAAAGAAAAUAGAGAGUUCUUUUUAACCCGGCUCUGGGACGCGUACACACCGCCCGUCACC
Molecule: ribosomal RNA, 374 nt
Filed under: Odorrana huanggangensis
Lineage: Eukaryota; Metazoa; Chordata; Amphibia; Anura; Ranidae
Description: partial 12S ribosomal RNA
Rfam family: Bacterial small subunit ribosomal RNA
Source: RNAcentral